This 329-nucleotide long non-coding RNA is filed under the name Carica papaya (papaya). RNAcentral's name for it is "long non-coding RNA (CPAP_LNC009623)". Lineage: Eukaryota; Viridiplantae; Streptophyta; Magnoliopsida; Brassicales; Caricaceae. The record is from RNAcentral.
AUAAAACCCCCACACCUGACCACAAAAACCCAAGCCGCCUGCCCUCGCUGGAGAAGACGAAUCAGACGCUGGAGGAGCCGGCCACCGCCACCCGCCGCCGCACCAGGGAGUUUUCCGACCGCCGAUCGAGGUAAAUUUCAUACCCCCAGCUCGUUUUUCAAUGCUGAGUUCCCCUGUGGCCAAAUCGGAGCUAAAAUCCCGGCCAAACGGCCGAAAAAUACGGCCGAAACCCAGCGGCACCGCCGCGCCCCUCCUCAAUUUUUGCCUCCGAUGAGGCCCUUCCUAGCCUCCGUUUGAUACAAUUUUUAUAUCACCGUGAUCACAAUUCU